CACAGUUUCUAAAAUUUUAAUUUUUAAAUAAAAAUAAGGGAAAAUUACUUUGUAGUCCCUGAGGUUUAACGUAAUUAACACUUAUGUCCCUCUAUUUUGGCGACCCAACACUUAAGUCCCUCACUUUCUCUUCCGUCCAAAUUCGUAGUCCUUCCGUCCAUUUAAACCGUUUGGUCAAAGAGUCAAAGGUGAGAUGUGAUAAUUUUUUCCAAAAAUGCCCUUCUCUCCAUGUGAAAU
RNAcentral lists this long non-coding RNA (237 nucleotides) under Manihot esculenta (cassava). RNAcentral describes it as "long non-coding RNA (MESC_LNC008593)". Lineage: Eukaryota; Viridiplantae; Streptophyta; Magnoliopsida; Malpighiales; Euphorbiaceae. The record is from RNAcentral.